CCUACGGGAGGCUGCAGUGGGGAAUAUUGCACAAUGGGCGAAAGCCUGAUGCAGCAACGCCGCGUGGGGGAUGACGGCCUUCGGGUUGUAAACCUCUUUUAGUAGGGAAGAAGGACUUCGGUUUGACGGUACCUGCAGAAAAAGCACCGGCUAACUACGUGCCAGCAGCCGCGGUAAUACGUAGGGUGCAAGCGUUGUCCGGAAUUAUUGGGCGUAAAGAGCUCGUAGGCGGUUUGUCGCGUCUGCUGUGAAAACCCGAGGCUCAACCUCGGGCCUGCAGUGGGUACGGGCAGACUAGAGUGCGGUAGGGGAGAAUGGAAUUCCUGGUGUAGCGGUGGAAUGCGCAGAUAUCAGGAGGAACACCGAUGGCGAAGGCAGUUCUCUGGGCCGUUACUGACGCUGAGGAGCGAAAGCGUGGGGAGCGAACAGGAU
Molecule: ribosomal RNA, 432 nt
Filed under: uncultured bacterium
Lineage: Bacteria
Description: bacterial SSU rRNA
Rfam family: Bacterial small subunit ribosomal RNA
Source: RNAcentral